GUAGUCAUAUGCUUGUCUCAAAGAUUAAGCCAUGCAUGUCUAAGUAUAAGCAAUCUAUACAGUGAAACUGCGAAUGGCUCAUUAAAUCAGUUAUCGUUUAUUUGAUAGUACCUUACUACUUGGAUAACCGUGGUAAUUCUAGAGCUAAUACAUGCUAAAAAUCCCGACCUCUGGAAGGGAUGUAUUUAUUAGAUAAAAAACCAAUGCCUUCGGGCUCCUUGGUGAUUCAUGAUAACUUUACGAAUCGCAUGGCCUUGUGCCGGCGAUGGUUCAUUCAAAUUUCUGCCCUAUCAACUUUCGAUGGUAGGAUAGUGGCCUACCAUAGUUUCAACGGGUAACGGGGAAU
RNAcentral lists this ribosomal RNA (346 nucleotides) under uncultured fungus. RNAcentral's name for it is "SSU rRNA". It matches the Rfam family "Eukaryotic small subunit ribosomal RNA", at positions 20 to 370 of the family's 1831-position model. The record is from RNAcentral. Lineage: Eukaryota; Fungi.